CUUGUUUCGGCUGCACGGGAAAGAUCACACAAGGGGGAGUUUGAACUGAGUUGCGCUUCGGUCAUUGAUAAAAUAUUGAUGAAGGCCAGAGAACAAACGACGACGACAAUAAAGUUGGGAAUCUGCAAAAUUAUUGGACAGUGUUUCUGGCGUGCCCUAGGGACGCAACUCUGCACAGCGAAUGGUGGCGCCUUAGUCGACUGGGCCGACCGUGCCCCCUGUGUAUAUUCAAUAUUCUGCCAAUAAAGCCAAGUUAAGCAAAUGAG
Molecule: unclassified non-coding RNA, 266 nt
Filed under: Haliotis rufescens (red abalone)
Lineage: Eukaryota; Metazoa; Mollusca; Gastropoda; Lepetellida; Haliotidae
Description: innexin unc-9-like, transcript variant X1
Source: RNAcentral